RNAcentral lists this non-coding RNA (27 nucleotides) under Cricetulus griseus (Chinese hamster). The record is from RNAcentral. RNAcentral also lists the same sequence under 1 other name. Lineage: Eukaryota; Metazoa; Chordata; Mammalia; Rodentia; Cricetidae.
UUUUGGAGAGAAGCGGGGCCACUUUGA